RNAcentral lists this unclassified non-coding RNA (248 nucleotides) under uncultured fungus. RNAcentral describes it as "sequence contains ITS2". Lineage: Eukaryota; Fungi. RNAcentral also lists the same sequence under 1 other name. The record is from RNAcentral.
AACGCACAUUGCGCCCCUUGGUAUUCCAUGGGGCAUGCCUGUUCGAGCGUCAUUUGUACCUUCAAGCUAUGCUUGGUGUUGGGUGUUUGUCUCGCCUUUGCGUGUAGACUCGCCUCAAAACAAUUGGCAGCCGGCGUAUUGAUUUCGGAGCGCAGUACAUCUCGCGCUUUGCACUCAUAACGACGACGUCCAAAAGUACUUUUUACACUCUUGACCUCGGAUCAGGUAGGGAUACCCGCUGAACUUAA